Molecule: non-coding RNA, 390 nt
Organism: Rattus rattus (black rat)
Lineage: Eukaryota; Metazoa; Chordata; Mammalia; Rodentia; Muridae
Source: the annotation of a RefSeq genome assembly
CACAGAUCACCCACAGACAUGGCUGUGCCCACUCAGCUCCUGGGGUUGUUGCUGCUGUGGAUUACAGAUGCCAUAUGUGACAUCCAGAUGACACAGUCUCCAGCUUCCCUGUCUGCAUCUCUGGGAGAAACUGUCACCAUCGAAUGUCUAGCAAGUGAGGAUAUUUACAGUAAUUUAGCGUGGUAUCAGCAGAAGCCAGGGAAAUCUCCUCAGCUCCUGAUCUAUUAUGCAAAUAGCUUGAAUGAUGGCGUCCCAUCACGGUUCAGUGGCAGUGGAUCUGGCACACAGUAUUCUCUGAAGAUCAACAGCCUGCAAUCUGAAGAUGCCUCGAUUUAUUUCUGUCAACAGAAUUAUGAUAGUCCUCCCACAGUGAUUCAAGCCAUGACAUAA